AUUGAACGCUGGCGGCAUGCCUUACACAUGCAAGUCGAACGGCAGCGGACCUUCGGGUGCCGGCGAGUGGCGAACGGGUGAGUAAUGCAUCGGAACGUACCGUUCAGCGGGGGAUAACGUAGCGAAAGUUACGCUAAUACCGCAUAUUCGGUGAGCAGGAAAGCAGGGGAUCGCAAGACCUCGCGCUGAUUGAGCGGCCGAUGUCAGAUUAGCUAGUUGGUGAGGUAAAGGCUCACCAAGGCGACGAUCUGUAGCGGGUCUGAGAGGAUGAUCCGCCACACUGGGACUGAGACACGGCCCAGACUCCUACGGGAGGCAGCAGUGGGGAAUUUUGGACAAUGGGGGCAACCCUGAUCCAGCCAUGCCGCGUGAGUGAAGAAGGCCUUCGGGUUGUAAAGCUCUUUCGGCCGGGAAGAAAUCGCACAGGCUAAUACCUUGUGUGGAUGACGGUACCGGAAUAAGAAGCACCGGCUAACUACGUGCCAGCAGCCGCGGUAA
Molecule: ribosomal RNA, 498 nt
Filed under: uncultured bacterium
Lineage: Bacteria
Description: partial 16S ribosomal RNA
Rfam family: Bacterial small subunit ribosomal RNA
Source: RNAcentral